Long non-coding RNA from Carcharodon carcharias (great white shark), 420 nucleotides. RefSeq lists it as uncharacterized. NCBI's taxonomy places the organism in Eukaryota, Metazoa, Chordata, Chondrichthyes, Lamniformes, Lamnidae. The record is from RefSeq and is a predicted model, not a curated record. The transcript has 3 exons.
CAGCAUCUGUGGAGGGAGAAACAGGGUUAACGUUUCGAGUCCGUAUGACCCUUCUUCACUGGCCUUCUUGAGAUGCUUCUCAGUAAUAUUUCCCAUUUAUGGCCCACAAGCUUUGAAAAAGAAGACUUAAAAGCAUGGUGUCACCAAAUUGUAUCUUGUUGAUUGCCCUCGCUGCUUUCUUCACCACCACCCGACUACCGUAAUGGUUCCUGCUGUCUGGGCCUAGUCUCAAAGGCUUCAUGAUAAAGCAGUGCAGGGUUCAUGAUGAAGCCACAAUAAAUUGUGUCCAUGAGGAGUCUAUCUAAAGUCCAAUCGCCCCUUCCAAAUUUGGACUAAGCAAAAGGUGCCGGUGCUAUCAUUGCUGGACCUAACCCUUCAUGUCUCUCCCUGGAACAGCAGCCACGAGGAUGUCCACAGGAU